AGAGUUUGAUCAUGGCUCAGAUUGAACGCUGGCGGUAUGCUUAACACAUGCAAGUCGAACGGUAGCAGCUCUUCGGAGGCUGACGAGUGGCGGACGGGUGAGUAACGCGUAGGAAUCUGCCUGUUAGUGGGGGACAACUUAGGGAAACUUAAGCUAAUACCGCAUACGCCCUACGGGGGAAAGGAGGGGAUCUUCGGACCUUUCGCUAACAGAUGAGCCUGCGUAGGAUUAGCUAGUUGGUAGGGUAAAGGUCUACCAAGGCGACGAUCCUUAGCUGUCCUGAGAGGAAGAUCAGCCACACUGGGACUGAGACACGGCCCAGACUCCUACGGGAGGCAGCAGUGGGGAAUAUUGGACAAUGGGCGAAAGCCUGAUCCAGCAAUACCGCGUGUGUGAAGAAGGCCUUAGGGUUGUAAAGCACUUUCAAUUGGGAGGAAAAAACUAGGGUCAAUACCCCUAGUCUUGACAUUACCUUUAGAAGAAGCACCGGCUAACUCCGUGCCAGCAGCCGCGGUUAUACGGAGGGUGCGAGCGUUAAUCGGAAUUACUGGGCGUAAAGAGUGCGUAGGCGGCUCGUUAAGUCAGAUGUGAAAGCCCUGGGCUCAACCUGGGAACUGCAUUUGAAACUGGCGAGCUAGAGUUGAGUAGAGGUAAGUGGAAUUUCAGGUGUAGCGGUGAAAUGCGUAGAUAUCUGAAGGAACACCAGUGGCGAAGGCGACUUACUGGACUCAAACUGACGCUGAGGUACGAAAGCGUGGGUAGCAAACAGGAUUAGAUACCCUGGUAGUCCACGCCGUAAACGAUGUCAACUAGCCGUUGGUCCUAUAUACAGGAUUAGUGGCGCAGCUAACGCAUUAGGUUGACCGCCUGGGGGAGUACGCGCAAGUUAAACUCAAUGAUGACGGGGCCGCACAGCGGUGGAGCAUGUGGUUUAUUCGAUGCACGCGAGACUUACUACCUUGA
Molecule: ribosomal RNA, 963 nt
Filed under: uncultured bacterium
Lineage: Bacteria
Description: bacterial SSU rRNA
Rfam family: Bacterial small subunit ribosomal RNA
Source: RNAcentral